GAUGAACGCUGACAGAAUGCUUAACACAUGCAAGUCCACUUGAACUUCGGUUUGGGUGGCGGACGGGUGAGUAACGCGUAAAGAACUUGCCUCACAGAUAGGGACAACAUUUGGAAACGAAUGCUAAUACCUGAUAUUAUGAUUUUAGGGCAUCCUAGGAUUAUGAAAGCUAUAUGCGCUGUGAGAGAGCUUUGCGUCCCAUUAGCUAGUUGGAGAGGUAACGGCUCACCAAGGCGAUGAUGGGUAGCCGGCCUGAGAGGGUGAUCGGCCACAAGGGGACUGAGACACGGCCCUUACUCAUACGGGAGGCAGCAGUGGGGAAUAUUGGACAAUGGACCAAGAGUCUGAUCCAGCAAUUCUGUGUGCACGAUGAAGUUUUUCGGAAUGUAAAGUGCUUUCAGUUGGGAAGAAAAAAAUGACGGUACCAACAGAAGAAGUGACGGCUAAAUACGUG
RNAcentral lists this ribosomal RNA (454 nucleotides) under uncultured bacterium. RNAcentral's name for it is "partial 16S ribosomal RNA". It matches the Rfam family "Bacterial small subunit ribosomal RNA", at positions 28 to 507 of the family's 1533-position model. The record is from RNAcentral.